CCGCCCCCGUCCCCGUCCCGCCCGCCUUUCUCUGAGGGGACGGGCGGGGUACGCUUUUCGUACGCUAGUUCAAAUACGCGGGUUCCAAACGUUAUGAAACAUCCCUUGUUCACCACGGGGCGUUGCAAAUUUUUCCUUAAAAUUCUACUGAAGAACUCAACAACGAGCAAAACACAACAGCUUGAGAACUUCAGGCCGAGGUACCUUACAGUACCGGCAAAACACUGCCACAAAAUACAGUUUUAAGUGAUGCUUUUUAUCACACACUUGUGCCCGGAAGACCUUCUUCCUAUUCUUUCUGACCACUAAAGGGAAGGCUCAUUAUAUUUUAAAAAUACGUCAUAACGUGAGAGGUUCACACUUUCUCUCCCUGAAAAUAGUACAGAUCACUUUGUGAAGAGGGUGGCAGCUCAGUAUGUAUCAGAUCAGAGUUGCAGCUUUUCCCCUAUGAAAUUGAAACUUGUAUACUGCUGGGGGAAGUGGUAACACGUCUUCCCUGUCUCUCACCUGUGCCAUACAAAAGGAUAUACUUCAGCAACACCGUUCUGCUGCUAGCCACGCUGGAACUUACGGCACCUUUAAGCUCGAGUCUCAAUAAGGAGACCAUGUGGUGGAAGUGCUUAAAUGGUUUAUCAAGUAACUGGAACUGAUGCCAUGUGCUGCCUCCUAAGAAUUUCUUCUAAAGAAGGGAGAGUGCAUGACUGUCUGAGGAUAAACCCAUUGGUAACUCUGACUGUGUCUAUGCAGCACAGGCAUCAAGCACCUGUGAAUAACCAUAUUACUGCAAGUGUUUCGCUUAUAGACAUGGCUAUUUUCAGCAUUUCCUCAGCAUCUUGGAGGCAUCUAGACACCAGGGUAGAAACAAUAAUGAUGACUUAAACAUGCCAGAGUUCUUCUAGAAACACAAUCAAUGGAAGAAAAAAAGCAAUGGAUACAGUAGGAAGUUUGGAAUCUCGCAUUAUUCUUAACAUUGAGCAUUCAAGAUGUACUCCUAAAUGUUAGGGGUAGCUCAAGAAAGAAGCCUCAGUGGAAAAGCCCAUAUGCAAGUACAGUCUUAAGAUUUACACUUCUUAGGUAAUUUUGUCUCAUUUAACUCAAAAUUACACACAUCAAGAACUACAGCUGAAUGAAAAACACUGAAAAUUAAAUCCAAAUCAUAUGGACUUUUUUUUUAAAUCCAUGAACUACAAGAUAAUUCAGGAUCACUGAAACAAUUUUUCCAUAUCAAUCCACAAUGUGAAAAAACCAAAACAGACAAGGCCUUCUCCAAAAGUAUGUUCUGUCUACCUGGGCCCAGAAAGUUCCAUUGCUAUCUAUAUUGGGAAAGCCUCAUUACACACAUCAGGGUAACAUUUUCCAUCUUUCCAUUUCUAUAUGGGCUAUCAGGUACCAGACAGGGAAGGUACCAUGCUCCACGGUCAGCCAGUAACUACACAAAAAGAAGAGAUCUGCCUGAUUCAAGGCUUGGCAAACACAGA
Non-coding RNA from Cyanistes caeruleus (blue tit), 1478 nucleotides. NCBI's taxonomy places the organism in Eukaryota, Metazoa, Chordata, Aves, Passeriformes, Paridae. The record is from RefSeq and is a predicted model, not a curated record.